RNAcentral lists this ribosomal RNA (251 nucleotides) under uncultured prokaryote. RNAcentral's name for it is "partial 16S ribosomal RNA". It matches the Rfam family "Bacterial small subunit ribosomal RNA", at positions 524 to 774 of the family's 1533-position model. The record is from RNAcentral.
UACGAACCGUCCAAACGUUAUUCGGAUUUAUUGGGCUUAAAGGGUAUGUAGGCGGCCCUUCAAGUCGGGUGUGAAAGCCCUCGGCUCAACCGAGGAACUGCGCCCGAUACUGCAGGGCUUGAGGGAGACAGAGGUAAGCGGAACUGAUGGUGGAGCGGUGAAAUGCGUUGAUAUCAUCAGGAACACCAGUGGCGAAAGCGGCUUACUGGGUCUCUUCUGACGCUGAGAUACGAAAGCUAGGGGAGCGAACG